UUUAACUGAGCGUUCAGUUACUUGACGUAGACCCGAAACCGGGCGACCUACCCAUGAGCAGGAUGAAGCGAAAGUAAAAUUUCGUGGAGGUCCGAACCCACGAGCGUUGAAAAGCUCGGGGAUGACUUGUGGGUAGCGGUGAAAUUCCAAUCGAGCCCGGAGAUAGCUGGUUCUCCCCGAAAUAGCUUUAGGGCUAGCCUCAAGGUGAGAGAUACGGAGGUAGAGCACUGAAUGUCCUAGGGGGUAUUGCACCUACCGAAGACUAUCAAACUCCGAAUGCCGUCAUCUUAUACUUGGGAGUCAGACUGUGGGUGAUAAGAUUCAUAGUCGAAAGGGCAACAGCCCAGAUCGUCAGCUAAGGUCCCUAAAUGUAAGUUAAGUGGUAAAGGAUGUGGGAUUGCACAGACAACCAGGAUGUUGGCUUAGAAGCAGCCACUCAUUCAAAGAGUGCGUAAUAGCUCACUGGUCGAGUGAUCCUGCGCCGAAGAUUUCCGGGGCUAAAACUUACUACCGAAGCUACGGCAUCAGUAAUGAUGGGUAGGGGAGCUUCCCAUACGGGUUGAAGCAUGACCGUAAGGACAUGUGGACAGUAUGGGAGUGAGAAUGUUGGCAUGAGUAGCGAGAUGUGGGUGAGAAUCCCACAGGCCGUAAACCCAAGGUUUCCAGGGGAAGGUUCGUCCGCCCUGGGUUAGUCGGGACCUAAGCUGAGGCCGAAAGGCGUAGGUGAUGGACAACAGGUUGAUAUUCCUGUACUACCGAUAACCG
RNAcentral lists this ribosomal RNA (765 nucleotides) under Clostridioides difficile. RNAcentral's name for it is "partial 23S ribosomal RNA". It matches the Rfam family "Bacterial large subunit ribosomal RNA", at positions 683 to 1456 of the family's 2925-position model. The record is from RNAcentral. Lineage: Bacteria; Bacillati; Bacillota; Clostridia; Peptostreptococcales; Peptostreptococcaceae.